RNAcentral lists this ribosomal RNA (323 nucleotides) under Marenzelleria sp. CFS-1997. RNAcentral's name for it is "partial 16S ribosomal RNA". It matches the Rfam family "Bacterial large subunit ribosomal RNA", at positions 2048 to 2560 of the family's 2925-position model. Lineage: Eukaryota; Metazoa; Annelida; Polychaeta; Spionida; Spionidae. The record is from RNAcentral.
UUUUUACUUCUAAAAAAUUAUCCUUUAAGUGAAGAGACUUAAAUAAAAUAAAAAGACAAAAAGACCCUAUUGAGCUUUAUUUCAUAAAUUAAACCUCUAUAGCCCACGCAAAAGAACCUUAUUUACAGAAAUUUUGUUGGGGCGACAAGAGAAGACCUAAAUCUUCUCUACACUAUAAGAAUAUACCUCCACUAAUGAUCCGUAACAAACGAUUAACAGAACCAGCUACCAUAGGGAUAACAGGCUAAUCUUCUUUGAGAGCCCAAAUUGACAAGAAGGAUUGGCACCUCGAUGUUGGCUUAGGAUACCUGAUAGAUGCAGAA